Molecule: transfer RNA, 95 nt
Organism: Drechmeria coniospora
Lineage: Eukaryota; Fungi; Ascomycota; Sordariomycetes; Hypocreales; Ophiocordycipitaceae
Rfam family: tRNA
About the family: Transfer RNA (tRNA) molecules are approximately 80 nucleotides in length. Their secondary structure includes four short double-helical elements and three loops (D, anti-codon, and T loops). Further hydrogen bonds mediate the characteristic L-shaped molecular structure. tRNAs have two regions of fundamental functional importance: the anti-codon, which is responsible for specific mRNA codon recognition, and the 3' end, to which the tRNAs corresponding amino acid is attached (by aminoacyl-tRNA synthetases). tRNAs cope with the degeneracy of the genetic code in two manners: having more than one tRNA (with a specific anti-codon) for a particular amino acid; and 'wobble' base-pairing, i.e. permitting non-standard base-pairing at the 3rd anti-codon position.
Source: Rfam
GGUGGGCUGUUGCAAUGGUAGCAAGUAGACCUCCUAUUGCAGUAGACAAGCCGCAUCUAAGUCUAAGGUUGUGGGUUCGAGUCCCACGUCCAUCG